GGGGUCCACAGGAGCGUCUCCGGAUGCCAGGACCUGAAAUGGGCCGACCAGGAUGAGGAAACCACAGGCAGAGGCCGGGGAAGCAGCGCGGCAUCCCAUCCUCAGGCCUGCCCGGACGGUGUUCGGGAUCAAGAGGACCACACUCCAGCCCAGGACAAAAGCCCCACGGUAGCACAUUGUCCGGCAGGAGAGGAGCAGACCCACGUCCAAGAAGAUGGUUGUACCUUUCCACGCCUCUUCUCUGCGAAAUGAAGCCACACCAUGACACAAUCUUGAAGAGGAAGCCGGGAAUGGGAGACGGCAACAAUCCCUGUCCCUGGAACGCUGGCCUCUAUGGACAAGCCACCCGCUUCGCACCCCUCCCCUUAUGCCCGUGGCGGUGGCACGGCGCCGUAUCCUGCCUGGGCUCUGGCCUCUGCUCUGUCCUCCCUCUUCCACUGUCUCCCCUGUUUCUCAGCGGCCUAGAUGCCUCUUGGUCUGGCUGAAUAUCUUCUAUGAAGAUCACUUCCCCGUCCAUCAGGGAGACAAUUCCUGGAGAUUCGUGUCAUGACUGUUUCUCUCUCCAAACCUGUUUCUGCUGGAUUGCGCAGGUCUGAUGACCCUGGAGCUCUUGGCUUCCAUACGUGUCUCAGACAGGAAACCAGAAUCAUGGCAUUCUGAAGAUUAGAGAUGCAAAUCUCCAUUAUUUGGCAUCCCCCUGGACCCGAUCUGUUUUUCAUUGCAAAUGUCCUACUGCUAAGACGAUGCAAGCACCCUCCCUCUAGGCCCAGAGACUGUUUCAGAAGAGAUGGGUGCAUGAGAUUGUAAGGGCUGGUUUUGAGGGAUACAGUUAGCUGAGACACUGCAAAUCAACGAGGGUACACAAGUGCCUAAACAGCUUGUAAAACAAAGAACUUUGCUUUCUCAGCUAUUACGUGGCACCUUUUUAUCCACCCCAACCAUGAAAAAUGUCCUGCUUCCUGGAAUUAAAAGAAAAUAAGAGGAUAAAGAUACCUCAUGGCCAAGCCUCCUGGGCAUAAUACUCCCAGUUAUAAGUUUUGCAGAUAUAUAUAUUUAGAUAUAUAAAAUUAUUUUUUAGAAAAAUGUAUAUGUUUUGUAUAGUUAAUCACUGUAAGCCUAUAAUUAAAACCAAGAUUAUAGUAGCUCAACGCAUAGAAAUGAAAGAAAACUCAAUUUUUGUAAACUCGCCAUUGGCUUUUUGUUUUUGGCUCUUUACUUUAAAUAAAUCUUUUAAGGGGUAAUGAAUGCCUGUCCGAGUCCAUUCCUAUCUUUCCUAGAACACUUACUUGUCUGUAAGUAUUUUGACUUCAAGUCCCUCCACCACAGGGAGUCUCACUGAAGGACAGGAUGGACACAGGGCAGGCAGAUAUGCCACCCAAGCAGUGCUAGGGGGAAAAAAAAUUAAUAGCCAUUGAUGCUGAUGCUGGCAAAUAUUGGCCAUAAAGGGAAGAAUGGAAACCAAAAAUAAAAUUCUAAGCCCUUCAACCAUCUGAAUGUACCCCUCCUCUCAGCCAUAGGGAUUCCAGAGUGAAACUGAAAAUCUUGUUCAGGCCAUGAUGGAAGAGAGCAUUGGACAUGCCUCAUUAUAUUUCUCCAGCAUUAACAUCAACGCAGACCUUAAGACAUCAACAUCAAACCUAAGAUUCUGAUCAGAAAUAUUUAACAUCUAUUUUCUCUGAAGCCUGCUACCUGGAGGCUUUAUCUUCCUGAUAAUAUCUAGGUUUCUCCAACACCUUAUCUUAACCCAGACAUUCCUUUCUACUGAUAAUAACUCUUUCAACCAAUUGCCAAUCAGAAAAUUUUAAAAUCUACCUAUAACCUGGAAGUCCCCACUUUGAGUUGUCCUGCCCUUCCAGAAUGAAACAAUAUAUACCUUACAUGUAUUGACUGAUGUCUCAUGUCUCCCUAAAAUGUGUAAAACUAGGCUGUGCCCUGACCAUCUUGUGCACAUGUUCUCAGGGUCUCCUGAGGGCUGUGUCAUGGCCCAUUGGUCACUUACAUUUGGCUCAGAAUAAAUCUCUUCAAAUAUUUUAGAGUUUGACUCUUUUUGUUGACCAGUCACUCCCUAGUAAGUUUAGGAGCAGGGAUCUGACAGCAACCAUAUCAUGCUCAGAAACAGCAUUCUCUCAUCCACUGUCCCCAGGCUCUGCAGAACCCAGGGUCCUGGUAUCCAUAACCCAAGGAAAUGGGAAGGAGUCAUGAGCUCUUGGGCUUUCUCAUUCUCUGAAAAUGGGCAAUUGAUAACUAGCCUUGAUUUUGUUUAGAAGUAUAAAUAAAUGUCACAUUUCUAAGCAAAAUCAAGUCUAGUUUCAAAUGUGUGAAAGGAAAAUAGAAACUUGGGACCCCAAUUCACUCUGCCAAAAGGAGAAAGUUAAGCUGAAAGCUGAGUCAUGCAAGAAGCUGACUUUCUUUUUGCUCCUAAGCACACAGCUCCAGAUAGAAGGUUAAAUAUCCCCACAGGUAGGUGCUCUGUCCUCAUCUUACCUUAUGUGAAGUGCUGAUUUACUGAGCAUAAGAUGAAUACAAAAUUGACUAUUCCCCUGCCUUAUCCUUUUCUUUUGCAAUGUGUGGAUUCAGUAAUGUGGCCAUACCCUUCCUCUUUCCCCUCCAGCAUACUCUUCCCCUUUAAAUAUUGAAGCCUCAGCAUCGUCUUUGGAGAAAGGCACAGACCACAGAUUGUUUAUAUGAUUCUGUGUUUUUUCCUUCCAACUUGUCCUUAAU
This 2721-nucleotide long non-coding RNA is filed under the name Homo sapiens (human). RNAcentral describes it as "HSALNT0389065". The record is from RNAcentral. Lineage: Eukaryota; Metazoa; Chordata; Mammalia; Primates; Hominidae.